Long non-coding RNA from Anoplopoma fimbria (sablefish), 1599 nucleotides. RefSeq lists it as uncharacterized. The record is from RefSeq and is a predicted model, not a curated record. Lineage: Eukaryota; Metazoa; Chordata; Actinopteri; Perciformes; Anoplopomatidae. The transcript has 3 exons.
ACAAGUCAAGAUAAAUAGAAGCAAAAUAUCCAUGUUUUUACAUAAUAAGAGUAUAGAUGUAAAUCAAACAUACAGAGUACAUGCUUUCUACCAGGACUGAUAGUUAUCCAGGGAGUUCCAUUUGGCAAGAAGUUAUCAACACCUGUGGACAGGUGAACACUGUGGACAGGUGUUCACUGUGGACAGGUGUUCACUGUGGACAGGUGAACACUGUGGACAGGUGUUCACUGUGGACAGGUGUUCACUGUGGACAGGUGAACACUGUGGACAGGUGUUCACUGUGGACAGGUGAACACUGUGGACAGGUGAACACUGUGGACAGGUGAACACUGUGGACAGGUGUUCACUGUGGACAGGUGAACACUGUGGACAGGUGUUCACUGUGGACAGGUGAACACUGUGGACAGGUGUUCACUGUGGACAGGUGUUCACUGUGGACAGGUGAACACUGUGGACAGGUGAACACCUACAGAGGACGGAGUUCUACUCUUAAAGUAUCCGAGUACUUCUUCCACCACCGGCUAUCAACUUAAGAACAGGUGUUUCAGGAAUUUGGGUUCUCCAGAUAUUCUGGAGGUUUGGUUCCUCUUUAAAGAGAGUUCAUCUUCACAAUCCAGGGUUUCCUACGGUGGCUGAGACAAACAAAAAGCAAAGCUCUUAGAGAUACAGACGUCGCCUGUAUUGAUCAAUCAUCUCAGAAUCUUAUUGAUCACGCUGAUAGAACAAACCUCCACUUCAGAGCCGUUUGUAGUUUUCUGAUUGUUAAAAAUAUGAAAAGGUGGUAAAAUAGAAAAUGCAGAAAACAGCACCUCCUGAUUAUGUGUGUGUUUUAUGUGUGUUACUACGGUGUACUAGUAUAAAAUAUGUCACUCUGAGUGUUUCUCGUCGGUUAGUUUCCCUCUCUUCAUGAAUUAAGAUCCAGAACUUUGUGACCAUCCUCCUCCUCUGAACUCUACUGUGAAGUGUUUGGUCUGUCCAGGCCACCGUAGAUUUGGGAGUUUUUUCAGGGCCAGCAGGGGUUUGACACGAUUUCUAUCCAGAGACGUCUGCGUCCUUUAUAAAUAGAUUUGGAAGCCCCUGUACAAAGAGAGGUAGAGCGUGUGGUUUCAGAUCAGGUCAAAGGACUAAUUUGGUAUUUUUGGGGGUCUGAACACCGACUGUGUCUCUGUGGUGAAGAUGUCAGUCAUAAUCUUUAAACUAAAUAUGUACAGUGCAAACAGGAGAUCAUCAUCAUCAUCAUCACUGCUGAUAAAAGUGUAAACAACACUGUUUUACUAGAAGCUCACGAACACAACACGUCACUGAACUACACACUGGAUCUAUCUACUCAAACAGCUGCAGAACAAAGUCAACAGAAAAGAGUAGAAAGGAUAAAAAAAACUCAAAGCAGAUCGUCUCUUCAAACUGAAACAGAAGCUUCGUGUUUCUCAGAGUUCGUCUGAAGCCGAAAACUAAAAGGGAUGCAGAAGAAGAAGAAGAAGCAGCAGAGAAACCCAAGAGAGAAGAAGAAAUUAUCUCUGUCCUUGUCUUCCACACCCUGUGUUCAAUAAAGUUUAAUGAAAUACAAUCAAUUGGCUCCGUCCUGAGCGUCCGAGGAAA